This 759-nucleotide ribosomal RNA is filed under the name Bacillus pumilus. RNAcentral's name for it is "bacterial SSU rRNA". It matches the Rfam family "Bacterial small subunit ribosomal RNA", at positions 45 to 792 of the family's 1533-position model. Lineage: Bacteria; Bacillati; Bacillota; Bacilli; Caryophanales; Bacillaceae. The record is from RNAcentral.
GGCUAUAAUGCAGUCGAGCGGACAGAAGGGAGCUUGCUCCCGGAUGUUAGCGGCGGACGGGUGAGUAACACGUGGGUAACCUGCCUGUAAGACUGGGAUAACUCCGGGAAACCGGAGCUAAUACCGGAUAGUUCCUUGAACCGCAUGGUUCAAGGAUGAAAGACGGUUUCGGCUGUCACUUACAGAUGGACCCGCGGCGCAUUAGCUAGUUGGUGAGGUAACGGCUCACCAAGGCGACGAUGCGUAGCCGACCUGAGAGGGUGAUCGGCCACACUGGGACUGAGACACGGCCCAGACUCCUACGGGAGGCAGCAGUAGGGAAUCUUCCGCAAUGGACGAAAGUCUGACGGAGCAACGCCGCGUGAGUGAUGAAGGUUUUCGGAUCGUAAAGCUCUGUUGUUAGGGAAGAACAAGUGCAAGAGUAACUGCUUGCACCUUGACGGUACCUAACCAGAAAGCCACGGCUAACUACGUGCCAGCAGCCGCGGUAAUACGUAGGUGGCAAGCGUUGUCCGGAAUUAUUGGGCGUAAAGGGCUCGCAGGCGGUUUCUUAAGUCUGAUGUGAAAGCCCCCGGCUCAACCGGGGAGGGUCAUUGGAAACUGGGAAACUUGAGUGCAGAAGAGGAGAGUGGAAUUCCACGUGUAGCGGUGAAAUGCGUAGAGAUGUGGAGGAACACCAGUGGCGAAGGCGACUCUCUGGUCUGUAACUGACGCUGAGGAGCGAAAGCGUGGGGAGCGAACAGGAUUAGUCCUUUGGUU